UAAAUUAUAUAGAGUCUGGCCUGCCCACUGAUAGUUUUUAAGGGCCGCGGUAAUUUGACCGUGCGAAGGUAGCAUAAUCAGUAGCCUUUUAAUUGGAGGCUGGAAUGAAGGGUCGGACAAGGGGGAAGCUGUCUUUUUUACAAUUUUUGAAUUUUACUUUUAAGUGAAAAGGCUUAAAUGGGUUGGGGGGACGAUAAGACCCUAUAAAAUUUUACAAAAUCGGAGUUUUUUUUGAAUUAAGGUUUAAAUUCUUUAAUUCCUUGUUUGUUGUGUUGGGGCGACAAAGAUAAAAAUUAGUAACUGUCAUUUAAUUAGAAUAAGUAUAAUUAGUUUAGUUGAUCCUUUGUUAGAGAUUAAAAGAUUAAGUUACUUUAGGGAUAACAGCGUAAUUUUCCUUGAGAGUUCCUAUCGACAGGAGUAGUUGCGACCUCGAUGUUGAAUUAAGGUUUCUUUUAAGUGUAGCAGCUUAAUAAGUGGGUCUGUUCGACCCUAAAAAUCUUACAUGAUUUGAGUUCAA
Molecule: ribosomal RNA, 517 nt
Filed under: Pandalus houyuu
Lineage: Eukaryota; Metazoa; Arthropoda; Malacostraca; Decapoda; Pandalidae
Description: partial 16S rRNA
Rfam family: Bacterial large subunit ribosomal RNA
Source: RNAcentral